GGUAUCAAAAGAUGCAGAGCAAGGGGGAUCGGCUACUGGGAGGCGUGCGGUGGUCGUCGCACGGUGCCUGGCAGCGGUGGUGGCUCGGCAACGAAGGAGAGGGGUGGCGUUGAAGUGGCCGAGAAACAGCGCCGGCGGUAGAGGCAACCGGCGCCUGCGGCAGCAGAGGGAUCGGCGGCUGCUCUGUUUCGAUCGCACCACAGAAACAUCGACGCCGACAGAUCGCACGGCCGAAGCUGCAACCAAGGGAAGGCAGCGAUGGCGGUGCGGCUAGGGCAGCGUCGCCGACGGUAUAAGCGGCGAUGGGUGGUCCGCUGGCUGGGAAACGGCGACCGCGGCCCUUCUCGCACGAGCGAGAUGCGGGCAGCGAGGAGACGAGGUGGGAAGGUUGCUGGCCGUUGCACAGCGGCAGCGGUGGGCGCUGGCCGGGGAGCAGCGGCGACGGUGGUCGCCGAGCAGGAAGCAGGGGUGCGUGGCUGCGGUUGCUGCUUCUUCUUUCUUUCUUUCUUUUUUUCUU
Molecule: long non-coding RNA, 517 nt
Filed under: Musa acuminata (dwarf banana)
Lineage: Eukaryota; Viridiplantae; Streptophyta; Magnoliopsida; Zingiberales; Musaceae
Description: long non-coding RNA (MACU_LNC011703)
Source: RNAcentral